AGCUGCUUGCCCCGUGGGCCACCAGGGAUCCCAUAGUUCUUCAUCCAGGGCUGGGGACCAAGCUCAGCCCCGAAGGAGUAUCAUCGGUGCCCUGCAAGAGGGCAGCCUGGUUUUCCUGCCUCAGACGUAU
Molecule: small nucleolar RNA, 130 nt
Filed under: Octodon degus (degu)
Lineage: Eukaryota; Metazoa; Chordata; Mammalia; Rodentia; Octodontidae
Source: RNAcentral